This is a long non-coding RNA of Pongo pygmaeus (Bornean orangutan), 4407 nucleotides long. RefSeq lists it as uncharacterized. NCBI's taxonomy places the organism in Eukaryota, Metazoa, Chordata, Mammalia, Primates, Hominidae. The transcript has 5 exons. The record is from RefSeq and is a predicted model, not a curated record.
GGGAGCAAGAAGAAGACAAGGAAAUGGCUAAUUUCCUGAGAAUCAAGUUAAAACCUCUAGACAAAGUAACCAAAUCUCCAGCCAAAAAACAGAUUAUUCAAGUUGGCUUAUCAAACAAUGAUUUACUCUUAAGGUGCCUUUCAAUACACCUAUGAAUAUGCUACCCCUUGAGCCUUCUACUUGGGGAUCUCUGACCAUGGUGAUGAGGAUAGGAACGGCUUUAGCAGAAUUAAUCCAAGGUCCAGGAGAUAUCUCUAUAAAAGAAUGGAAGAUGAAUGGUCAAGAUAAUUUGAGCCUGACAACAAAGAGAGCUAUAGCUCUUGAGAAAUUUAAAUUAAAAUUUAAAUGUAUGAGAAGGACUGCAGUCCCUAGGAGUUAAAGUAGCAUGCUACAGAGAUCAAUCAAAACAUGAAUUCUUCAGUUACUGGAGCUGUACAUUAAACACCUGUCCCAGACUGCAUCUAUGCUCAUUCGCAUUUAUUCAUUCAUUCAAUAAGUAUUUAUCGAGUACCCACUAAAUUCCAGGCACUGUACUACUUGCUAAAUACAUGAAAUAAGAGUUGAAUUCUUAGAGUUUAAAGAAGGGAGAUGGCUGGGCGCGGUGGCUCACGCCUGUAAUCCCAGCACUUUGGGAGGCCGAGACGGGCGGAUCACAAGGUUAGGAGAUCGAGACCAUCCUGGCUAACACAGUGAAACCCCGUCUCUACUGAAAAUACAAAAAAUUAGCCAGGCGUGGUGGCAGGCGCCUGUAGUCCCAGCUACUCGGGAGCCUGAGGCAGGAGAAUGGUGUGAACCCGGGAGGUGGAUCUUGCAGUGAACCGAGAUCGCGCCACUGCACUCCAGCCUGGGGUGACAGAACGAGACUCUGUCUCAAAAAAAAAAAAAAAAAAAAGAAGGGAGGUACAUGUGCAGAAAGUGCAGGUUUGUUACAUAGGUAUACAUGUGCCAUGAUGGUUUGCUGCACCCAUCAACCUGUCAUCUACAUUAGGUAUUUCUGCACAUGUACACCAGAAUUUAAAGUAUCAUAAAAAAAAUUUAAAAAUAAAUAAAUAAAUGUCCUCCUAAAAAAAUAAAGAAGGGAGGUAUGCUGUGGGAGGGACAUACUCAGUAUGUGUUCAAAUAAUUAUAUGUAAUGAUACGUGCUAUGCUAUGUAUGCUAUGCUUUUGCUGAAAGAGAAAAUAAUGAGAGACACAAAUUUGAUGGCAACAUUUCUAGAGAAAUGAUAUUCUCGACAUGAAACAUAGGUAGAGAUUAUUCAGGAGAAGAAAGAGGAAGUAAUGUUUCGGGCCAAUGGAGCAACAGGUGCAAAGUCAUAGAGAUUGGAAACACAUUGGCAUAUAUAUAUUUGUAUUGUUUCUAUGAAAUCAUUUGCCAAAUUAGGCUAGUGCCAUGGCCAGAUUAGGGCUUAUCAGUCAACAAAAAUAUUUAAAUAAUUAUCGUUGACUCAGAGCCAUUACAACUAAAUUAUGAGCUCUUAUUCAUAUAAUAGAUAUCCAUUUGCACAUCCUUCAUAAACUAUCACUGACACCUUUCUGUGUUGAACUGAAAGAUCGGGGCAUGCUCUUUAUUGCUAUUAUGCUAUUUAUUAUUGUGGUAAAUUUAAAUGACAUGAUAUUCAUAGAUCUCAGAAACUAUACUUAAUGUUGGCAAUCAAUUUGAGAUAAAAGAACGAUAGGUUUCAUGCAGUCAUGUAUUCCUUCAAUAAGCAUGUGGUGAGUGUCUACUUGCAAGUAACUACUAGGUGAUGAGGAUAAAAAGAUGAGUUAAAUUGUUUUCAGUGAACACAGAGGAGGAAAGCAAGGUAUGCAUACAAAUGAGUCUGAAGUGUGAGAGUGGUUACUUAAGUAGAGGCAAGAGGAGAAACAGGCUUACUUUUAUUUUUAAGACUGUACCAGUUUGCAUAUGUGUUAGGCUAAAAGAAAGAAGGUGAUAGAAAUGGAGAGACUGAAGAUAUUAAAAAUAUGACAAAAAUCAGAAGGAUAGAGGCCUUGAGGAGAGAAUAAAUGAUUGAACAAAAGCAGAUGUGGAAAGAAAGUGUUUGAACAAAUAAAUGUUACAGGCAAAUUUAAAAAAAAAAGAGAAAAGUUAUUGGAGUUGGCUCCUGGUGGUAAAUACCUACUCCAUGAAAUGUAAGUUAAUGUACUGAAAAUUAAAGGCCAGGCCAGGCUCAGUUUUUUGUUCUCAUUGAACAAAUGAGAAAUAAGGUUUGAGGAGAUUAGUUCAAAAUUAAAACAAACUUUAUACUUCUUUCUCUUAAUACAUUCAGUUUAGUUCCUCCUAAGUUGAUGAUGCUGAUGAUUGGAAUGGCAUUAAUUACACUUUGCAGUUUUCAAAAGUUUAAUAGUGAGCCCUAAAAUUGUGACUAAAGAAAUGUUAAUGCUAAAUACUUCAGAUUUAUGACAACUCUUUCUCUUCUUUCACCGUAAAAGGUGGUUGAAAGCAUACACAAAUAUGCAACUCUAUAUAUUCAUCAACAAAACAUUUAAAAAUUGAUAUCGCAAGAUUUUGUUCCUUGCAUAAAUCAUUCAGAGUAAGGUUGAAACACUACUAAUAUUUAAAAAUGGGUUGAUGUCAUCAGAUGUCAGCUUGCCUUGCACAUAGUAAACAGCAAAUAAACCUAAGUUGAAUAGAAUUGUUCUCAUUUUUUCACUUUUACUUUUGCAUAAACUCAACAUUUCUUUGAUUUCUCUUGUUUUUUCUUUGAAUUUAUAUCUCAUGUUUUUCAAAUUGAAACUAUGUGAAAAGAAAUGAAAUUGACUGAUUUAACCAUAAAGUUUAGUAUAACGUACAACAAAUAUUCUCAAGUAUCCAUAUUAUGGUAAUCAGGCUGAUGCAAUAUUUAUCUCAUAUCUUAUAAAAUGUACUUACUACAUAUACUAAAUUUUAUGGUGAAACAAGCUAAAACAGCUUUUUCUGUGACUAAUAUUUAAGCUACACAUUCCGUUUUUGAGAGUUUUCAUGGUAUUUGUCUUUAAAACACACACACACACAAAUACAGUGACAAAAUGCUUUUGGUUCUAAUCAUUCGAUUAUAUUUUUCCUAUCUUUAUCUCAAAGUCUGCAUGUAUUUGUAUCAUAGAUUAUCAUGUUUUUCCACUUCCUGCAUCAUUUUUCCCUCUUUUUGGAGGUACCUUGGCAAAAUAGUCCAACAUGUCUGUAUUUCCAUGCCAUUCAUCUGCUGCUGAGCAAAUAUUUGCUAGGUAAUUGUUUUUAUCAGAGUGUCAUAAAUUUCAUGAAACUGAACUGUCAGUAAAUCUCUUCUCUGCAUGCAACAAUAAUCUAUUGCCUAAAAUUACUGAACAAAUUAAAAACGAAUACAGAAAAUUUGAGUUUUUUCUUAAUACUCUGAGCUCCUACACAUUUUAAAGUGUAAAAACCUCUGACAUUUUUUCUUAGAAGUUUAGAAAUACUAAGUAACAUUACUUUUAAAUGUUAGUUAUGGUACUGCUGAUUCUUUCAGGCCAUCUAUUUCUCAACACAAGGGCCAUACAAGCUAAGGCAACAACUGGUUUCUUUGUUUUUGGAUCCAGUGCGCAGAAGCAAGUACACACACACAUUCAUCUUUUCCCUUGUUAAGCAACUGUCUACCAUUCUGUAAAAUCACAGAGGUAAGAAGGUAAUUUUAACUGUAUGACACUGAAAUGUAUGUGACUCCAGCUAGCAUUCUUUGUGUUUGACACUUGAAAACUCUCUAUUUUCCUCUCAUCUCAAGGAGAAGUCUUGGUCUUCCAUUUCAUUUUUACUUUUAGUGUUUUCUAUUGAGGCAAAGUGAAUACAAUGAAGAGCAGCAUGGCUUUUCUGAGUUUGUCUAGUGAUAGAAAAAAUAAGAAUGUGGAACCUUUAUGCAGUUCAACAGUAUUUCCUAUUAAUGACAACGUACUCUCGUUGAGAAGGGAUUGGCCUGAAGAAUGGCAUCUCAAGAUAAAGACGAUAGAAGCAGAAGAGGAAUAAAAGAGAUCUCCGCUCUAUGCAAAUUGAGUGUGAGAAAUAUUUCAAACAAGACUGGCAUAAGAGGAAAUAGAAUUACUCUGUGGCCUCUCUGGAAAGUUCCCAGUUCCCUGCACUGGAGAAAAGAGAAACUACCAUACUUUGAACAGCUUUGUAACACUUACGAGCUUAUGUUUGAGGAGGGUAUAAUGUCAAAAAUAUAAUAUGCACUACUCUGGGAUAUAAAACUAAAGACCUGUGUUUUAACGUAUGGGGAUUAACAGACAUAAAAUUAUCUACAAUUAGCUGAUGCAAAUAUUUAUAAUAGGUAAAACAUAACUGAAGUUAUACAGUGUUGUGUCAAGUUCUUGGGAUUCAAUUCAAUACUUCAAAAUAAUUUUGAUGAAAGAAAUCCAUUGUAAAACCAAUUUUCUAAAAAAGCAAAUAUAUGUUUCCCUUUAAAAAUUGCUUUUAUAGCC